Molecule: ribosomal RNA, 437 nt
Filed under: uncultured bacterium
Lineage: Bacteria
Description: bacterial SSU rRNA
Rfam family: Bacterial small subunit ribosomal RNA
Source: RNAcentral
ACGGAGCAAUCCUGGUGGCGAGUGGCGAACGGGUGAGUAAUAUAUCGGAACGUGCCCAGUCGUGGGGAUAACGUAGCGAAAGCUACGCUAAUACCGCAUACGAUCUAAGGGAUGAAAGCGGGGGAUCGCAAGACCUCGCGCGAUUGGAGCGGCCGAUAUCAGAUUAGGUAGUUGGUGAGGUAAAGGCUCACCAAGCCAACGAUCUGUAGCUGGUCUGAGAGGACGACCAGCCACACUGGAACUGAGACACGGUCCAGACUCCUACGGGAGGCAGCAGUGGGGAAUUUUGGACAAUGGACGCAAGUCUGAUCCAGCCAUUCCGCGUGCAGGAUGAAGGCCCUCGGGUUGUAAACUGCUUUUGUACGGAACGAAAAGGUUUGUCUUAAUACGAUGAGCUCAUGACGGUACCGUAAGAAUAAGCACCGGCUAACUACGUG